Molecule: ribosomal RNA, 1334 nt
Filed under: metagenome
Description: bacterial LSU rRNA
Rfam family: Bacterial large subunit ribosomal RNA
Source: RNAcentral
GGGGAAGACGUGAUGCGGAGUGAAUUUUAGUAACGAAGUCCGUGAGCUGUGCGUCAAGAAAAGCCGCUAUUGUUCAUACCAUACCCGUACCGUAAACCGACACAGGUGGAUGAGGAGAGAAUCCUAAGGCCGGCGGAAGAAGCAUUGUCAAGGAACUCGGCAAAAUGACCCCGUAACUUCGGGAGAAGGGGUGCCACUGAGAAGUGGCCGCAGAGAAUAGGCUCAAGCAACUGUUUAGCAAAAACACAGGUCUAUGCGAAACCGUAAGGUGAGCUAUAUGGGCUGACGCCUGCCCGGUGCUGGAAGGUUAAGAGGAGAGGUUAGCGCAAGCGAAGCUUUGAAUUUAAGCCCCGGUAAACGGCGGCCGUAACGAUAACGGUCCUAAGGUAGCGAAAUUCCUUGUCGGGUAAGUUCCGACCCGCACGAAAGGCGUAAUGAUUUGAGCGCUGUCUCGACAAUGCAUCCGGUGAAAUUGAAGUACCAGUGAAGAUGCUGGUUACCUGCGCCAGGACGGAAAGACCCCAUGGAGCUUUACUCCAGUUUGGUACUGGGAUCCGGUACUGCAUGUACAGGAUAGGUGGGAGGCUAUGAAAUGGUAACGCCAGUUGCCAUGGAGCCGCUGUUGGGAUACCACCCUUGCAGUAUUGGGUUUCUAACCAGCCGCCGUGAUCCGGCGGUGGGACAAUGCCAGACGGGGAGUUUGACUGGGGCGGUCGCCUCCGAAAGGGUAUCGGAGGCGCCCAAAGGUUCCCUCAGGAUGGACGGAAACCAUCCAAAGAGUGCAAAGGCAGAAGGGAGCUUGACUGCGACACCGACGGGUGGAGCAGGUACGAAAGUAGGGCUUAGUGAUCCGGUGGUAUUAAGUGGGAAUGCCAUCGCUCAACGGAUAAAAGCUACCCUGGGAUAACAGGCUUAUCACUCCCAAGAGUUCACAUCGACGGAGUGGUUUGGCACCUCGAUGUCGGCUCAUCGCAUCCUGGGGCUGUAGUAGGUCCCAAGGGUUGGGCUGUUCGCCCAUUAAAGCGGUACGCGAGCUGGGUUCAGAACGUCGUGGGACAGUUCGGUCCCUAUCCGGCGUGGGCGUAGGAUAUCUGAGAGGAGCUGUCCUUAGUACGAGAGGACCGGGAUGGACGGGCCGCUGGUGCACCGGUUAGACUGCCAAGUCUAUAGCCGGGUAGCCAAGCCCGGAAGGGAUAAACGCUGAAGGCAUCUAAGCGUGAAGCCCCCCUCAAGAUGAGAUAUCCCAUCCGAAAGGAGUAAACCCCCUUGAAGACGACGAGGUUGAUAGGGCAGGGGUGGAAGUGUGGUAACACAUGGAGCUGACUGCUACUAAU